RNAcentral lists this ribosomal RNA (725 nucleotides) under Amsacta albistriga. Its description in RNAcentral is "bacterial SSU rRNA". It matches the Rfam family "Eukaryotic small subunit ribosomal RNA", at positions 1 to 716 of the family's 1831-position model. Lineage: Eukaryota; Metazoa; Arthropoda; Insecta; Lepidoptera; Erebidae. The record is from RNAcentral.
CACCAUUAUAUUUUUUCAUCACUGUCUACUAGAUUAGCCAUGCAUGUCUCAGUGCGAGCCGUAUUAAAGUGAGACCGCGGAAGGGUCACUAUAUCACUUUUGGUUCCUUAUAUCUUACUCUUUUACUUGGAUUACUGUGGUAAUUCUAAAGCUAAUACAUGCAAUCAGAACUCUGACCAGUGAUGGGAUGAGUGCUUUUAUUAAAUCGAAACCACUCGACCGACGGCCUCCCGUCCGAAUUCGUUAAUUUUGAUGAAUCUGGAUAACUUUUGCCGAUCGCAUGGUCCAUUACCGGCGACGCAUCUUUCAAAUGUCUGCCUUAUCAACUUUCCAUGGAAGUUUCUGCGACUACCAUGGUUGUCACGGGUAACGGGGAAUCAGGGUUCGAUUCCGGAGAGGGAGCCUGAGAAACGGCUACCACAUCCAAGGAAGGCAGCAGGCGCGCAAAUUACCCACUCCCGGCACGGGGAGGUAGUGACGAAAAAUAACGAUACGGGACUCUUACGAGGCCUCGUAAUCGGAAUGAGUACACUUUAAAUAUUUUAACGAGGAACAAUUGGAGGGCAAGUCUGGUGCCAGCAGCCGCGGUAAUUCCAGCUCCAAUAGCGUAUACUAAAAUUGUUGCGGUUAAAAAGCUCGUAGUUGCAUUUGUGCGCCGCGCUGUCGGUGCACCGCCAUCCGCGGUGAACUGACACGUCUGCGGAGCAUAUCGUCGUGAGUCCGGU